Non-coding RNA from Pelobates cultripes (western spadefoot toad), 233 nucleotides. The record is from the annotation of a GenBank genome assembly. NCBI's taxonomy places the organism in Eukaryota, Metazoa, Chordata, Amphibia, Anura, Pelobatidae.
GUGACACUACUUUUAUUAUAGACUGCAGGGAUUCCAUCUUGAAUCUGCGAAUGUGUAGAUGCUUGUUUAAUCUGUGCAGAUCUAGAAUGGGUCUCCAUCCUCCUGAGGAUUUUUUUCGUUAGGAAGAUGUGUGAGUAAAACCCUAGAGUUCUUUCGUCUGUUGGAAUCUUAAUGAUAACUUUCUCUGCUUGUAGGGAUAAAGUGAAGUUCCGUAGGGCCAUGCGCUUCUCUUU